Oncorhynchus kisutch (coho salmon) is the source of this 285-nucleotide long non-coding RNA. RefSeq lists it as uncharacterized. The record is from RefSeq and is a predicted model, not a curated record. NCBI's taxonomy places the organism in Eukaryota, Metazoa, Chordata, Actinopteri, Salmoniformes, Salmonidae. The transcript has 3 exons.
CAGCAGACUUUUGCCAACCUUUGAAACCCGAGGAUCCAUCAGAGACACGUCCACAGUGACGAGAGAGUGUAUCCCUGCGACGUCUGCACCAAGACUUUCAAAUGCAUGAAGGAUGUGACGCGCCUCCGACGACAGGUGCAUGAGGGAGGCGGCUUGCGGCACACCGGUCUUGUGUGUAAUAGGGCACUGAGCUCUAAGACAGCGUUGAGGUGGAGGGGGAGAGUGGAGUUGGAGGGCAAUGAUCCAACACACCUCCAGGCUGUGUAAGGGCUAUUUGACGAACGA